Mus caroli (Ryukyu mouse) is the source of this 429-nucleotide long non-coding RNA. RefSeq lists it as uncharacterized. The record is from RefSeq and is a predicted model, not a curated record. Lineage: Eukaryota; Metazoa; Chordata; Mammalia; Rodentia; Muridae.
CUGAAGACUUGGUUGCUGGAUGUAGCCUAGGACUGGACAGUGUGCAGGCCGGGGUCCGCGCGCCACUUUUCCCACUUUUUCCACCUUCAGAGUAGUUCCGGGAGGUACAUACAUGAUGGAAGAGGGAAGUCAGUACAGCAGUAACAGUGGAGAAAACUGAUAAGAGCGCUUCAGGUUGGGCAAGUGAUCAAGAACGCCUAUGAAGUCAUGGUGAUAACCUGUGUCCCUUAUUGCAUGAUGACAAUGUUUCCUCGCCUCUACAACCUUCCACCUGAAAAUCCACAGCCCUUACUGAUGAGAAAAGAAAUUAGAAAAGUGGACUGCCCAUCAGAGGUGAGGGUUCUGCCUGGAGCUGAAGACUGCAGGCCCUUAGGGGUACACCUAAGGGAGGGGUAAACAGAGACCCUGGGAGAAGAGACUGAAGCGCAU